RNAcentral lists this ribosomal RNA (253 nucleotides) under uncultured bacterium. Its description in RNAcentral is "partial 16S ribosomal RNA". It matches the Rfam family "Bacterial small subunit ribosomal RNA", at positions 524 to 776 of the family's 1533-position model. The record is from RNAcentral.
UACGGAGGGUGCAAGCGUUAUCCGGAUUCACUGGGUUUAAAGGGUGCGUAGGCGGGUAAGUAAGUCCGUGGUGAAAUCUCUGAGCUUAACUCAGAAACUGCCGUGGAUACUAUUUGCCUUGAAUAUUGUGGAGGUGAGCGGAAUAUGUCAUGUAGCGGUGAAAUGCUUAGAUAUGACAUAGAACACCAAUUGCGAAGGCAGCUCACUACACAAUCAUUGACGCUGAGGCGCGAAAGCGUGGGGAUCAAACAGG